RNAcentral lists this ribosomal RNA (465 nucleotides) under uncultured bacterium. RNAcentral's name for it is "partial 16S ribosomal RNA". It matches the Rfam family "Bacterial small subunit ribosomal RNA", at positions 28 to 507 of the family's 1533-position model. The record is from RNAcentral.
GACGAACGCUGGCGGCGUGCUUAACACAUGCAAGUCGUACGGUAAGGCCCUUUCUGGGGUUCGCGAGUGGCGCACGGGGGAGUAACACGUGAGUAACCUUCCCACAACUUUGGGAUAACGCUAGGAAACUGGUGCUAAUACUGGAUAUGUGCUCCUGCUGCAUGGUGGGGGUUGGAAAGAUCCGGCGGUUGUGGAUGGACUCGCGGCCUAUUAGCUUGUUGGUGGGGUAGUGGCCUACCAAGGCGGCGACGGGUAGCCGGCCUGAGAGGGUGACCGGCCACAUUGGGGCUGAGAGACGGCCCAGACUCCUACGGGAGGCAGCAGUGGGGAAUAUUGCACCAUGGGCGCAAGCCUGAUGCAGCAAGGCCUCGGGCGGGAUGACGGCCUUAGGGUUGGAAACCGCGUUCAGCAGGGACGAAGCUUUUUGUGACGGUACCUGCAGAAGAAGCACCGGCUAACUACGUG